UAACCUGCCCAAGAGAUCGGGAUAACACCUGGAAACAGAUGCUAAUACCGGAUAACAACAGAUGAUGCCUAUCAACUGUUUAAAAGAUGGUUCUGCUAUCACUCUUGGAUGGACCUGCGGUGCAUUAGCUAGUUGGUAGGGUAACGGCCUACCAAGGCGAUGAUGCAUAGCCAGUUGAGAGACUGAUCGGCCACAUUGGGACUGAGACACGGCCCAAACUCCUACGGGAGGCAGCAGGC
This 239-nucleotide ribosomal RNA is filed under the name uncultured Lactobacillus sp. Its description in RNAcentral is "partial 16S ribosomal RNA". It matches the Rfam family "Bacterial small subunit ribosomal RNA", at positions 122 to 354 of the family's 1533-position model. The record is from RNAcentral. Lineage: Bacteria; Bacillati; Bacillota; Bacilli; Lactobacillales; Lactobacillaceae.